AUCAUCAGAUAUCCUCCUUGCGACAGCUUAGGGACCCGCCCGUUUAGGAGCGCGCGGCCCGCCUUGGGGACCGGGCACCCCGCGGGACAUCUGCAGCCAGCGGCCGGGGCACCGCGGGGAACGCGCUCGGCUUUCAUUCUAGGUCUGACGAGGGGUCCCCGCCCUUUCCGCGUGCGGCUGAGAGGAGCUUUUGGCCGGGCCUGAGUUCUCAGCCCCACCUGGACAGUGCCUCAUUGAUGUUCAAGACGGAGCUCACCACUGCCAGUCCCUCCUUAAGACUGCUGCUUGGUCGAGCCUCCCAUCUUCCACCAGUGCGUUCCCCUGCACACGCAGAGCACCAUUUGGUGAGAUGAAGUGGCCCAUCCUGAAGGAAUUCACUGGCAGGAGCAAGAAAACCUACAGAAGCUUCCUCUUCAGGGGCCCAGCCAGACUCAGGAUGAAGCAGGCUAUGUUAUUACCACCAUAGCUCAAAUGCUGGAGCUGUCGUUUGAGGAUGAGCUCUUUUCCUCUGGAGGGCUCACCAGUUAACUAACCUCUGAGGAAGCCCAGCCCAGGCCUGGCCCUGGAAGUGAAUUUCCAAAUCUGGAGUAUCUAUCUCUCCUGGGGCACCUGGAGCAUCUCUUCUGCAAGAGAACACAGAGCAAGGCAAAUAACCUGCUGGAUAUAAAUAAAUAACCAAACUGAGACUCCAAAGACCAGGCAAGGAAAUGGGCCUGCAUGCAAAUUGGAAAAGGCUGGUACCUCAGAAGCAAUAAAUUAUAAAAUAACUACACUUCCCUCCACGCCCCCACCCCACUCUGUUGGAAAAAGGCCCUUUCCCCAGGGGCUAGGCCUGGGCAGCCACUCUCAGGCUAGAGAGGUGGUCACUUUUGCAGGUUUGCCUUGCAUACAGGGAGUUGCUAAGAAGUUCAAAGCAGCCAGUUCUUUGCUCCAAGCUUCCAGGGAUAACUCCCCUCUGUGGAGCAGGUGGUACAACACCUCGUCCUUUCAG
This is a long non-coding RNA of Hippopotamus amphibius kiboko, 991 nucleotides long. RefSeq lists it as uncharacterized. The transcript has 4 exons. The record is from RefSeq and is a predicted model, not a curated record. NCBI's taxonomy places the organism in Eukaryota, Metazoa, Chordata, Mammalia, Artiodactyla, Hippopotamidae.